Non-coding RNA from Gossypium raimondii (Peruvian cotton), 143 nucleotides. The record is from Rfam. Lineage: Eukaryota; Viridiplantae; Streptophyta; Magnoliopsida; Malvales; Malvaceae.
UGUUAAAUAUUCCAUCUAUUUGUACGAUUAAAAAUUAUUGGCAUGACUGAUAGAAUAGCCAGAUAAUGUGAAGUGCCAUGUAUAUUUCAUGCUGACAUACAAAAACUAAUUUUUAACAACAAAAAUGGAUAAAAUUUUUAAUA